AUGGCCGCCGAAGGGGACGAAGAGGGGGCCGCGGCGCCCAAGAUGGUAGGGCUGGCGCUCAGCGGCCCCAAAUCAAGCGCCUACGUCCUCCGGUGGGCGCUCCGCAACUUCGCCCAGGACGACGCCCCUCCCGCCGAGUUCAAGCUCAUCCACGUCCUCACCCCGGUCCUGGCCGUGCCCACGCCAUUGGGGCACCUCCUCCCGAUUGAUGAAGUCAGCAACAGCGUCGCCGAAGGCGAGCUCGAGAAGAUGUGGAUCGAGAAGCAGGAAAUGCUGCAACGCUGCAAAGACACGUGUGAUGAAAACAAGGUUGAAGCUCAAGUACUGCUUGUUGAGGGUAAAGAUGUCGCGGAUACCAUUUCCAGUCUUGUUUCUCAGUACCAGAUACAUAACCUCGUUAUCGGUAACCCUCCCAGCAAGAGCCCAUUCACUAGGAGGUCCACUGCAAGUAGGACGGCCUGCAAAAUUUGCAAGUGUCUCCCCAGCUUUUGCACGGCAUAUGUUGUUUCAAAGGAUGGAUUGUCUUCAGUUCAUGUUCCUGAAUCGGAAAGUGGCUCGCCCUCUGGCUCUCCAGUACCAAAAGGCAACUCUGGGAGCUCCAGCACCAAAGAAUUUACAGAUGGAACGUCCUCAAGAUCCGAUUUGGAUGGCAGUUCAGCGCCGGGCCUGCCUAGUUUUACUCUGAACGAUUAUCUCACUGGAAAUGCACCAGUAUAUGCUGACAAGGAGAGAAGAAUUGCCUCACGCACUGGUGCUGAAAGCUCUAUAUUAAGUCAAUUUCGGGGUUCGGACAAGGUGCCAACAAGUUCACUGCAGGAAUUAAUGCUUUCAGACAACAAGGAUGAUGUCAGUACAGAGCUUGGAAAGCUGAACCUUGAACCGAGUCAUAAUAGGCUGCUGGCAACGGCAUCCAAGGACGCUGAUAGGGAGUCGAGGCUGGAGAAGCCCCUUGUACUUCCAAGCGACUCGUACUCAAUGUUCACCUGGGAAGAGAUUGAUAAUGCUACAGCGUCAUUCUCACUCAAGAUCGGAACUGGGUCUAAUGGAACGGUAUACAAGGGCCAUCUCAAUCACUUGGAUGUAGCGAUAAAGGUCCUUCAUUCUGAUGACAAAUCCAGUACCAGGCAUUUCAACCAAGAGCUUGAGGUUCUGAGCAAGAUACGCCACCCACACUUGCUGAUGCUCCUGGGAGCCUGUCCGGACAGGGGCUGCUUGGUGUACGAGUACAUGGAGAACGGCAGCCUUGCGGAUCGUCUGCAGCGCAGAAAGGGCACACCGCCGAUCCCAUGGUUUGAUCGCUUCCGCAUUGCCUGGGAAAUUGGGUCAGCCCUGGUGUUCCUGCACAGCACAAAGCCCAGCCCAAUCAUCCACCGUGACCUGAAGCCUGAGAACGUCCUCCUCGACCGCAACCUAGUGAGCAAGAUUGGUGACGUGGGCCUGUCGACCCUGAUGCCACCCAAGGAGACUCUGUCAAACCGCACGGUGUACAAGAAGACGGGCCUGGCGGGCACACUGUUCUACCUGGACCCGGAGUACCAGAGGACCGGGCAGGUGUCGGUGAAGUCGGACACGUACGCGCUUGGCAUGGUGAUCCUUGAGCUGCUGACGGCAAGGUGCCCGAUCGGACUACCUGAGGUGGUGGAGCAAGCAGUGGAAGACGGUCAGAUUAGCAAUGUCUUGGAUGAGAGCGCGGGGGACUGGCCCGUGAGGGAAGCGCAUGACCUUGCUCAGCUAGGCCUGAAUUGUUUGGAGAUGCGGAGCAAGGACCGGCCUGACCUCAACAGCGUGGUGCUGGAGGAGCUGGGGCGGCUGAAGCGUAUCGCGGCCAGCGUGUCGGGGGUGGCGUUGCCAGGGUCACCCAGUCACUUCAAGUGCCCAAUACUCAAGACGGUGAUGUAUGACCCAUGCAUCGCGUCGGACGGGUACACGUACGAGCGCAGCGCGAUGGAGAUGUGGCUGUGCGACAAGGACGUGUCGCCGGUGACCAAGGCGCGGCUGCGUGACAAGACGCUGUUGCCUAACCUGUCUCUCAAGAGCGCCAUCGUGAGGUGGGUGGCCGAUGGGGGGAGGCCUGUCAAGGAGUAA
Molecule: ribosomal RNA, 2085 nt
Filed under: Triticum aestivum (bread wheat)
Lineage: Eukaryota; Viridiplantae; Streptophyta; Magnoliopsida; Poales; Poaceae
Description: partial small subunit ribosomal RNA
Source: RNAcentral